This is a long non-coding RNA of Xiphophorus hellerii (green swordtail), 3116 nucleotides long. RefSeq lists it as uncharacterized. Lineage: Eukaryota; Metazoa; Chordata; Actinopteri; Cyprinodontiformes; Poeciliidae. The transcript has 2 exons. The record is from RefSeq and is a predicted model, not a curated record.
UCGUGUAGAGCAACGAAACAAAUGGGGUGCCCACAUUUGUUUCGUUGAGCUGGAGAAGGCGUUCAACCGUGUCCCUCAUGGGCACCCGUAGGGGUCCUCCACGAGUACAAAAUCCAGGGUCCUUUAUUAGGGAUUCUCUGUACAGGCAUCACUGACACUGAACCAGACCUGUUUCUGGUGCAUGUUGAACUCCGGUGUGGCUGCCAUUUAUCACCAGUCCUGUUCAUGAAGGGCUUGACAUGUGGGAGGCGACGUCGCUCCUUCUCCAUUUAUUUCCUGUGGAACUUGCGCAAUGAGGUGACAAUCACUUGCACUCAUCCAGAGAAAUUUGUGCAAUGGAAACAAGUAGACAUGUACACCUGGGCUUUUUGCUACCGUUGCUGUCAUAUUCCUCACAUUGAGCCCAUAACUUGUAUGGACAGGAUUUGUAAGGCGUAGCCAAGUGUUGGGAAGGUCUAGUUUGUUGAUUGGUGGAUUUUGUUCCUUGUUUUAUACGAAUGAUGUGGUCCUGCUGGCUCUUUCUGGCCUGGAGCUACAGAAUGCACAGGGACGGUUCACAGCCAAGUGUGAGGCAGCUGGAAGUCUGAGACAAUGGUUGGAUCAGUUUGGCUUCUCCAGGUUGGAGGGACGUUCCUCCCUCAAAUGGAGGAGUUCAUCCAUCUUGUGGUCUUGUUCAUCAGUAAAGGGAGGAUAGAUAAGGAGAUUGAUAGACAAAUCAGUGCAGCUGCAAUGCGGACACUGCACGGGUCCACUGCGGUGAGGACAGAGCUGAGUCGAAAAGCAAGACUUUCCAUUUACCGGUUGGUCUACAGAGUCUGCACAGUUGGAGAAAUCCUGGCUCUUCUUUACUUACAAGUCAUCACAACCACGAUGACCAGAAAGUCAAACACAUUCCUCAGAGUUUCGUUGUUUUUUUGUAAGUUGGUGUUGGUUCUGUUCAGUAUGCCGGUCCGGUGGAAGCUGAUGGCAGAAGCUGUGACAGGUCAUAGGUUUCAGAAAUGACAUGUUGGGUACUUGUAGCGUCUUGUCUGAUAGAUUUGACCAGAAUCAGCACUGGACCUUGGGAUCAGUGGACUUUCAGAGGACAUGCCUGCAGGAUCGUUGGAUGGUUGAACUGUUUCUAAGGUCAGGAGGCCGUGACACCAUCCACUUCCUUUGAGCCAGCUGGACAUGCCACUUCUACAGGAAGUUAUUGACCAUCAGGUGUCAAGCUCCGCUACAAUUGGUAUGACGUCACCAUGUCGGUCCUGAAACUGUGGAAAACAACCUCUGUGGCAUCUUCACAUGAAUCUAUGUAGGAUCAUAGAUUCAUUCAUACUGGCUUCACCAGCUGAGAAAGUCUUUGCAGUCACCAGCUGGUAGAACCUCCUGCUCCCUUUAGAGGUUCACAGGUGACUCUGUCUCACCUGCUCCAUCAGAGUCUCCUGGUUCUUCAGAUCUUUAAUACCAAACAUCUCACCUGUAGAGCUUUUCCAGGGACCUUCAAUCACCCUGUAAUUUGCACAGUGUAGCUGGAUUAGCUCAGCGUGAAUCAGGAAGUUCUCAUCACAGUUUUCAUCCUUUGGCGGUUCUGCAAAUGACUCAUCAGAUCAACGGGCUCCAUGAGGUCCGUCAGCUUGGUGACUUUUGCUUUUUGGACCGAACCAGUCCAAGUAUUCCAGAGCUUGUAGGAUAAACACACCGUUUGCAUCUGACUCUUUACACUCUGAUACGACUGGACUCACAAGAUCGAUUAUUCAUGCCAGAGUAAGUAUCGGUCUUAGUCAGGCACUUGGAGAUACACUCACAGGGAAAUGCUAGCGAUCUGCGAAGCCCUGUUAUCUUUAACGUGUCUCUGUACAUCAUCUGAUCUGAUGUUUUGGUCUUCAACUGUCAGACCUCAGGGCUAUUUUGGUCGGAACUAAUUAGCAAUUUGACGGGAACGUCAUGAGUACAAUAAGAAGUGUAAAACAAUAGCCACACAAAUACCAACUAAAAUCUUUUACUAUCAAAAACCAUAACGUGCUUCUGCAUGUUUGGAGCUGAAACUCUGAUCUUUUCUGACCUUUCUUAGUGUUGACGUUGGCAAGACUUCCGGUUCAAACUCUGGUCUGAAUAAUCGAUCUGACCAGUCCAGUGGUCCGUAGACCGGCCGUCGAGUCAGAGGCUUUCUGACAGGAAAACUCAGAUCAGACAUUGAAAAGUUGGAUGCAAGCAGUGUGUUGUGGCUGUCAUCCUCCUGUAGCAGGAACAUUUUGGAGGAAACAUCAUGAGGUUUUUGUCAUGCUGCCCCAGUUCAGGGUCAGACUUUAGUCGUGUGUAAAAAUACUAAGUGCAGCACCUUGAGCAUCCGCUGUGCAUGCAGGGCCGACGACGGCUGAGAGCAGAAGAAAAGCACACAAACACAACGUGACCAAUGCAAGCGCCUCCUCCCUGCAGACAGCAUGCCGAGCAGGGAGGCAGUCGAUGAAGGAAUGUAUGAACCCCUCCCAACUCUCCCUGCUGUUUUUAUAAGACUGUGUUGAUGUUUUGCUAAACUUUCGUAAAGUUCGUAUAUUACAAAGCAUUUUGCAGAUGAAGAGCUGCCUUCAGAGACGUUUGCAUCCUCCACUGUUCCCCUUUUCUAAAACACUGAGGCAGAUGCAUGGCGUGUUGUUUUGCAUGCAGAUGUCCAUGCAGGACCUGCUGGUCUCUGCGGUUCCUGGUAGUUUUCUUGCUAGUGAGUAAAUAUGAGGUAAUAACGAUGUUUACAGUGACGAGCCCUCUGUUCUCCAGCAUGUGAGUAGAUUUAAAGGCACAAACUGAGUAUCUCUGCAGAAACCUUCUGUUGGACUUCAUUCAUUCUGUCUCUGUGCUCCACCAGGUCCGUUUACCAGCUCCAGAACCCGACCAGAACCCUCAGUGUAAAUUACCUUGAGAAAUAAUGAGAUUUGGUUCUAUAAAAACAGCUUUAAUGCUGGAAAAUGAUCAAAUGUUACAAGCCACACAUGUUGUACAAACGGAUCAGAACCAGAGUGGAAACACUGAGCUCACCUGGUGGACGGAACCAGAUGGAGGACAGGCGCUGAGUCACCUGCCUCUUCUUCAUGUCAACCUGCGAAACAAAAACACCAUAAUAAAACCUUCAUCACACAGCA